This 523-nucleotide ribosomal RNA is filed under the name uncultured bacterium. RNAcentral's name for it is "partial 16S ribosomal RNA". It matches the Rfam family "Bacterial small subunit ribosomal RNA", at positions 357 to 874 of the family's 1533-position model. The record is from RNAcentral.
UGGGAAUUUGGACAAUGGGCGAAAGCCUGAUCCAGCAAUGCCGCGUGUGUGAAGAAGGCCUUCGGGUUGUAAAGCACUUUUGUCCGGAAAGAAAUCCUUGGCUCUAAUACAGUCGGGGGAUGACGGUACCGGAAGAAUAAGCACCGGCUAACUACGUGCCAGCAGCCGCGGUAAUACGUAGGGUGCAAGCGUUAAUCGGAAUUACUGGGCGUAAAGCGUGCGCAGGCGGUUUGCUAAGACCGAUGUGAAAUCCCCGGGCUCAACCUGGGAACUGCAUUGGUGACUGGCAGGCUAGAGUAUGGCAGAGGGGGGUAGAAUUCCACGUGUAGCAGUGAAAUGCGUAGAGAUGUGGAGGAAUACCGAUGGCGAAGGCAGCCCCCUGGCAAGUACUGACGCUCAUGCACGAAAGCGUGGGGAGCAAACGGGAUUAGAUACCCUGGUAGUCCACGCCCUAAACGAUGUCAACUAGUUGUUGGGGAUUCAUUUCCUUAGUAACGUAGCUAACGCGUGAAGUUGACCGCCU